RNAcentral lists this ribosomal RNA (500 nucleotides) under Aquitalea sp. RNAcentral's name for it is "bacterial SSU rRNA". It matches the Rfam family "Bacterial small subunit ribosomal RNA", at positions 844 to 1347 of the family's 1533-position model. The record is from RNAcentral. Lineage: Bacteria; Pseudomonadati; Pseudomonadota; Betaproteobacteria; Neisseriales; Chromobacteriaceae.
UAGCGUAGCUAACGCGUGAAAUUGACCGCCUGGGGAGUACGGCCGCAAGGUUAAAACUCAAAGGAAUUGACGGGGACCCGCACAAGCGGUGGAUGAUGUGGAUUAAUUCGAUGCAACGCGAAAAACCUUACCUGGUCUUGACAUGUACGGAACUUGCCAGAGAUGGCUUGGUGCCCGAAAGGGAGCCGUAACACAGGUGCUGCAUGGCUGUCGUCAGCUCGUGUCGUGAGAUGUUGGGUUAAGUCCCGCAACGAGCGCAACCCUUGCCAUUAGUUGCCAUCAUUAAGUUGGGCACUCUAAUGGGACUGCCGGUGACAAACCGGAGGAAGGUGGGGAUGACGUCAAGUCCUCAUGGCCCUUAUGACCAGGGCUUCACACGUCAUACAAUGGUCGGUACAGAGGGUAGCCAAGCCGCGAGGUGGAGCCAAUCUCAUAAAACCGAUCGUAGUCCGGAUCGCACUCUGAACUCGAGUGCGUGAAGUGGAAUCGCUAAAUGGCAA